Molecule: ribosomal RNA, 373 nt
Filed under: uncultured organism
Description: partial 16S ribosomal RNA
Rfam family: Bacterial small subunit ribosomal RNA
Source: RNAcentral
GUAGGUGGCAAGCGUUGUCCGGAAUUAUUGGGCGUAAAGCGCGCGCAGGCGGGUUCUUUAAGUCUGAUGUGAAAGCCCACGGGCUCAACCGUGGAGGGUCAUUGGAAACUGGAGAACUUGAGUACAGAAGAGGAAAGCGGAAUUCCGCGUGUAGCGGUGAAAUGCGUAGAGAUGUGGAGGAACACCAGUGGCGAAGGCGGCUUUCUGGUCUGUAACUGACGCUGAGGCGCGAAAGCGUGGGGAGCAAACAGGAUUAGAUACCCUGGUAGUCCACGCCGUAAACGAUGAGUGCUAAGUGUUAGGGGGUUUCCGCCCCUUAGUGCUGCAGCUAACGCAUUAAGCACUCCGCCUGGGGAGUACGGCCGCAAGGCUA